Molecule: ribosomal RNA, 549 nt
Filed under: uncultured Glomus
Lineage: Eukaryota; Fungi; Glomeromycota; Glomeromycetes; Glomerales; Glomeraceae
Description: SSU rRNA
Rfam family: Eukaryotic small subunit ribosomal RNA
Source: RNAcentral
UUGGAGGGCAAGUCUGGUGCCAGCAGCCGCGGUAAUUCCAGCUCCAAUAGCGUAUAUUAAAGUUGUUGCAGUUAAAAAGCUCGUAGUUGAAUCUCGGGGUUAGUAGAUUGGUCAUGCCUCAGGUAUGUACUGAUCUCACUGAUUCCUCCUUUCUGAUGAACCGUAAUGCCAUUAAUUUGGUGUUGCGGGGAAUCUGGACUGUUACUUUGAAAAAAUUAGAGUGUUUAAAGCAGGCUAACGCUUGAAUACAUUAGCAUGGAAUAAUGAAAUAGGACGUUCGAUCCUAUUUUGUUGGUUUCUAGGAUUGACGUAAUGAUUAAUAGGGAUAGUUGGGGGCAUUACUAUUCAAUUGUCAGAGGUGAAAUUCUUGGAUUUAUUGAAGACUAACUACUGCGAAAACAUUUGCCAAGGAUGUUUUCACUAAUCCCGAACCUAAAGUUAGGGAUCGAACACCAUCAGAUACCGUCGUAGUCUUAACCAUAAACUAUGCCGACUAGGGAUCGGAUGAUGUUAAUUUUUUAAUGACUCAUUCGGCGCCUUACGGGAAAC